ACGGGAGGCAGCAGUCGGGAAUAUUGCGCAAUGGAGGAAACUCUGACGCAGUGACGCCGCGUAUAGGAAGAAGGUUUUAGGAUUGUAAACUAUUUUAGUCAGGGAAGAAAAAGACGGUACCUGAAGAAUAAGCUCCGGCUAACUACGUGCCAGCAGCCGCGGUAAUACGUAGGGAGCAAGCGUUAUCCGGAAUUAUUGGGUGUAAAGGGUGCGUAGACGGGAAUUUAAGUUGGUUGUGAAAUCCCUCGGCUCAACUGAGGAACUGCAACCAAAACUGAAUUUCUUGAGUGCAGGAGAGGAAAGCGGAAUUCCUAGUGUAGCGGUGAAAUGCGUAGAUAUUAGGAGGAACACCAGUGGCGAAGGCGGCUUUCUGGACUGUAACUGACGUUGAGGCACGAAAGUGUGGGGAGCAAACAGGAUUAGAUACCCUGGUA
Molecule: ribosomal RNA, 434 nt
Filed under: uncultured Oscillospiraceae bacterium
Lineage: Bacteria; Bacillati; Bacillota; Clostridia; Eubacteriales; Oscillospiraceae
Description: bacterial SSU rRNA
Rfam family: Bacterial small subunit ribosomal RNA
Source: RNAcentral